Salvelinus namaycush (lake trout) is the source of this 678-nucleotide long non-coding RNA. RefSeq lists it as uncharacterized. The transcript has 3 exons. The record is from RefSeq and is a predicted model, not a curated record. Lineage: Eukaryota; Metazoa; Chordata; Actinopteri; Salmoniformes; Salmonidae.
AUAGUCAAAUGUAAAAGUCACAUGACAUGCAUGGGCACACCAUUAUAUACAUAAAAGCUUGAAUUUGAUUAGGUUUUCCACUUGCCUUGGUUGUUGCUCCUUGGCCCGGGGCCCCUGGGGAGGUGGGGGGCCUCUGCUGCAGCAGGUCCAGCCUGGGGGGCACAGGGGGCAGCGGCGUCACAGGGGAGGGCGGGCGCUCCACCUGAAAACAUCAAAACAAGUUGGUGAGGCUGGAGAGGCUGGUGAUGGGGCUGAAAUGCGUCCUUCAUCAAGCCGAUGAGACCUGCGCCCCUCCUCGGAUUUCCUGCCAUGCUUGUCGCCGGCCGGGGGAGAGCCCCGAGGCGGUCAAUGAAUGACAAUUCUGGGCACGUAUUUACAGACAACUGCCGUGAUUACUGUCUCUAUAGUUCUCUGAUAAAGAGAGUAAUAAUCACACAAACCUUGCUAAACGAAGAAAACCGUGAGCUUGCUAACUAGCUAAUUUAAAGUCCUCAUCCGCCUUCUCAUUUCGUCGGAAAAGACAGGCGUUUGCAUAACUCAACCUCCUGCCUGUUUUUUUUUAUUUCUGACCCGUCUGUUAUCUUUGGAGACAGCUUUUUUUUGCCUGUAGAGUAAAUUGGCUAACUUCCGGUUUGGAAUGAUCUUCAAAUGUCAAAAUAAAAGUCAUUUUGAAACCCA